Molecule: long non-coding RNA, 508 nt
Organism: Lemur catta (Ring-tailed lemur)
Lineage: Eukaryota; Metazoa; Chordata; Mammalia; Primates; Lemuridae
Exons: 3
Source: RefSeq, a predicted model, not a curated record
UUGAGAAGAGGGAGGGCUACCAUGGUAACUGGGAGGCGCGUCUUGGUCUAGCCUCUCCAGGCCGGCCGCCCACAAUGGUUGGGCCGUUUACAAGUGUACUAACCUUACCCUCACGCAGUGACCCCGACUCCCCCAACGCCAGCCUGCCACCACUUACCAAUUAAGGCACUCUGUAUCCUCUCCAUGAUAUAAACAUCCUACCAUUCUCUGUUUCCACAUACCCCGCGACAGACUCCAAAAACAGUUUCUAAGAAAAGCCUAAAGGACUUUCUGGGUCUCAUCUUCAAAAGAGCCCCACUUCAACCUCCUUUCAAAGUCUGCUCAGGUACUCCAAGGAACUAUUUAUGAAUUGGAAACUGCCCCUAUAGUGCCAUGCAGGAUUUCUGGGAGCACAGUGGAAUUGAGAAUGAAGAGCAGGGUUCUCUCAAUAAACUCUACCCUAAUGGCCUAAGAGUUUUUCCAGCUUGCUUUGGAGAAGUCUAUCAGAGGGACUGUAGAAGCGGAAGUG